This 110-nucleotide ribosomal RNA is filed under the name Triticum aestivum (bread wheat). The record is from RNAcentral. Lineage: Eukaryota; Viridiplantae; Streptophyta; Magnoliopsida; Poales; Poaceae.
GGAUGCGAUCAUACCAGCACUAAAGCUGGUAGAACUCCGAAGUUAAGCGUGCUUGGGCGAGAGUAGUACUAGGAUGGGUGACCUCCUGGGAAGUCCUCGUGUUGCAUUCC